RNAcentral lists this ribosomal RNA (450 nucleotides) under uncultured bacterium. RNAcentral describes it as "bacterial SSU rRNA". It matches the Rfam family "Bacterial small subunit ribosomal RNA", at positions 354 to 796 of the family's 1533-position model. The record is from RNAcentral.
GUGGGGAAUUUUGGACAAUGGGCGAAAGCCUGAUCCAGCAAUGCCGCGUGCAGGAUGAAGGCCCUCGGGUUGUAAACUGCUUUUGUACGGAACGAAAAGCCUGGGGCUAAUAUCCCCGGGUCAUGACGGUACCGUAAGAAUAAGCACCGGCUAACUACGUGCCAGCAGCCGCGGUAAUACGUAGGGUGCAAGCGUUAAUCGGAAUUACUGGGCGUAAAGCGUGCGCAGGCGGUUAUGUAAGACAGAGGUGAAAUCCCCGGGCUCAACCUGGGAACUGCCUUUGUGACUGCAUAGCUGGAGUGCGACAGAGGGGGAUGGAAUUCCGCGUGUAGCAGUGAAAUGCGUAGAUAUGCGGAGGAACACCGAUGGCGAAGGCAAUCCCCUGGGCCUGCACUGACGCUCAUGCACGAAAGCGUGGGGAGCAAACAGGAUUAGAAACCCUGGUAGUCC